RNAcentral lists this transfer RNA (82 nucleotides) under Scedosporium apiospermum. It matches the Rfam family "tRNA". From Rfam's summary of the family: Transfer RNA (tRNA) molecules are approximately 80 nucleotides in length. Lineage: Eukaryota; Fungi; Ascomycota; Sordariomycetes; Microascales; Microascaceae. The record is from Rfam by way of RNAcentral.
UCUUCCUUGGUCCAGUGGUCAGGAUACCUGCUUGUCAUUGAACAGGUCGCAGGUGGCCGGGGUUCGAUUCCCCGAGGGAGAG